Molecule: ribosomal RNA, 242 nt
Filed under: uncultured Actinomycetales bacterium
Lineage: Bacteria; Bacillati; Actinomycetota; Actinomycetes; Actinomycetales
Description: partial 16S ribosomal RNA
Rfam family: Bacterial small subunit ribosomal RNA
Source: RNAcentral
ACUCGAGUGGCGAACGGGUGAGUAACACGUGGGUGAUCUGCCCUGCACUCUGGGAUAAGCCUGGGAAACUGGGUCUAAUACCGGAUAGGACCAUGCUUUAGUGUGUGUGGUGGAAAGUUUUUUCGGUGUAGGAUGAGCCCGCGGCCUAUCAGCUUGUUGGUGGGGUAAUGGCCUACCAAGGCGUCGACGGGUAGCCGGCCUGAGAGGGUGUACGGCCACAUUGGGACUGAGAUACGGCCCAG